UCUCUUCCAUCUCUCUUACCAUUUUCGUAUCCAUCACCGAGAGCUCCAUCUGCAACUCUUCCGGUCACAUCAACAACAUCAACAGCACCACUGACCAUGAAAUCCUCGUCCACAACUCUUCCGACCACAUCAACAACAUCCACACACACAACCAUGAGAUCCCCGUCCACACUCUUCCGACCACAUCAACAACAUCCACACACACAUUGACCAAGCGAGCUACCAUCGCUUACAUUAAUCACCACCUCCAGUAUCUCCUCUCCCUCUAUUACCACUUUCGUAUCCACCACCGAGAGCCCCAUCCGCAACUCUUCUGGUCACAUCAACACAACCACUGACAACGAGAUCUUCAUCCACAACUCUUCCGACCACAUCAACAAUAUCCACGCACACA
RNAcentral lists this long non-coding RNA (394 nucleotides) under Brassica napus (rape). RNAcentral describes it as "long non-coding RNA (BNAP_LNC015077)". The record is from RNAcentral. Lineage: Eukaryota; Viridiplantae; Streptophyta; Magnoliopsida; Brassicales; Brassicaceae.